CCUACGGGAGGCAGCAGUGAGGAAUAUUGGUCAAUGGCCGUAAGGCUGAACCAGCCAAGUAGCGUGAGGGAAGACUGACCUAUGGGUUGUAAACCUCUUUUAUGCGGGGAUAAAGGUGUCCACGUGUGGAUGUUUGCAGGUACCGCAAGAAUAAGGACCGGCUAAUUCCGUGCCAGCAGCCGCGGUAAUACGGAAGGUCCGGGCGUUAUCCGGGUUUAUUGGGUUUAAAGGGAGCGUAGGCCGAGAGUUAAGCGUGCCGUGAAAUUUUGUGGCUCAACCCUGCGAGUGCGGUGCGAACUGGAGACCUUGAGUGCGCGAGAGGCAGGCGGAAUUCGUGGUGUAGCGGUGAAAUGCUUAGAAAUCACGAAGAACC
Molecule: ribosomal RNA, 373 nt
Filed under: uncultured bacterium
Lineage: Bacteria
Description: partial 16S ribosomal RNA
Rfam family: Bacterial small subunit ribosomal RNA
Source: RNAcentral